UACGUAGGGGGCAAGCGUUGUCCGGAGUUACUGGGCGUAAAGCGCACGCAGGCGGUCUUUUAAGUUUGGAGUGACAGUUGGUGGCUUAACUGCCAAAGUGCUUCGAAAACUGACAGACUUGAGGGCUUCAGAGGGACACGGAAUUCCGGGUGGAGUGGUGAAAUGCGUAGAGAUCCGGAGGAACACCUGUGGAGAAAGCGGCUCACUGGACCAUAACUGACGCUGAUGCACGAAAGCUAGGGGAGCAAACAGG
RNAcentral lists this ribosomal RNA (253 nucleotides) under uncultured bacterium. RNAcentral's name for it is "partial 16S ribosomal RNA". It matches the Rfam family "Bacterial small subunit ribosomal RNA", at positions 524 to 776 of the family's 1533-position model. The record is from RNAcentral.